UCCUUUUUUAAAAAAAGGUAGGCUUUGCUCAAUGAAAUUUUUUAAUAGCCGCAGUAUUUUGACUGUGCUAAGGUAGCAUAAUAAUUUGUCUUAUAAUAGAAGACUGGAAUGAAAGAGUUGACGACAUCUAAACUUUCUAAAUAAAACAAUUUGAAUUUAAUAUCCCCUUUAAAAAGUGGGGCUGUCUAGAGGGACGAUAAGACCCUAUAAAGCUUUAAAUUAAAAAAUUUUUUUUUUACAGAGUUUCUUAAAAAAAUUAUUGAUUGAGCUGGGGCGGCAUUUAUUAUUCUAUAAAAAAAAUAACAUUUAUUUAUGGUUUUUUAGAUCUCAAAAAGAUAUAGAACAAGCUACUUUAGGGAUAACAGCAUAAUUUCUUAGUAUAGAUCUCAUAGAUUAAUAAGACUUAUGACCUCGAUGUUGAAUUGAGGGGCUCUUCUGUUAGCAGAAAAAAGAAAGAGGGGUCUGUUCGACCUUUAAUCCCUC
Molecule: ribosomal RNA, 483 nt
Filed under: Eurycope elianae
Lineage: Eukaryota; Metazoa; Arthropoda; Malacostraca; Isopoda; Munnopsidae
Description: partial 16S ribosomal RNA
Rfam family: Archaeal large subunit ribosomal RNA
Source: RNAcentral